AGUGAACGGCGGCCGUAACUAUAACGGUCCUAAGGUAGCGAAAUUCCUUGUCAGGUAAGUUCUGACCCGCACGAAAGGUGUAAUGAUCUGGAUACUGUCUCAACCAUAGACUCGGUGAAAUCUUAAUACCUGUGAAAAUGCAGGUUACCCGCAUCAGGACGGAAAGACCCCAUGGAGCUUUACUGUAGCUUGAUAUUGAAGUUCGGUACAUUAUGUAGAGGAUAGGUGGGAGACUAUGAUACUAAGACGCCAGUCUUAGAGGAGUCAACCUUGGAAUACCACCCUUAGUAUAUUGGAUUUCUAACCUCGGUCCAUUAUCUGGAUCAGGGACAGUGUCUGGUGGGCAGUUUGACUGGGGCGGUCGCCUCCCAAAAAGUAACGGAGGCGCCCAAAGGUUCCCUCAGAAUGGUUGGAAAUCAUUCAUAGAGCGUAAAGGUAUAAGGGAGCUUAACUGCGAGACCAACAAGUCGAGCAGAUACGAAAGUAGGGCUUAGUGAUCAGACGAUACAGAAUGGAAUGGUCGUCGCUUAACGGAUAAAAGUUACCCUGGGGAUAACAGGCUGAUACCACCCAAUAGUUCACAUAGACGGUGGUGUUUGGCACCUCGAUGUCGGCUCGUCACAUCCUGGAGGUGAAGUCGCUUCCAAGGGUUGGGCUGUUCGCCCAUUAAAGUGGCACGCGAGCUGGGUUCAGAACGUCGUGAGACAGUUCGGUCCCUAUCCGAUGUGGGCGUAGGAAAAUUGAAGAGAGCUAUCCUUAGUACGAGAGGACCGGGAUGGACAAACCUCUGGUGUAUCUGUUGUAGUGCCAACUGCAGUGCAGAGUAGCUAUGUUUGGAGAGGAUAACCGCUGAAAGCAUCUAAGCGGGAAGCCAACUUUGAGAUAAGUUUUCCCAUACGAAAGUAGUAAGAUCCCAAAAAGACGAUUUGGUAGAUAGGCUGGAGAUGGAAGAAUGGUGACAUUUUGAGUUGACCAGUACUAAUAGAUCGAGGAUUUAAUCAU
RNAcentral lists this ribosomal RNA (1002 nucleotides) under uncultured bacterium. RNAcentral describes it as "bacterial LSU rRNA". It matches the Rfam family "Bacterial large subunit ribosomal RNA", at positions 1922 to 2925 of the family's 2925-position model. The record is from RNAcentral.